Molecule: ribosomal RNA, 207 nt
Filed under: uncultured bacterium
Lineage: Bacteria
Description: partial 16S ribosomal RNA
Rfam family: Bacterial small subunit ribosomal RNA
Source: RNAcentral
CGCGCAGGUGGUCAAUUAAGUCAGAUGUGAAAGCCCCGGGCUCAACCUGGGAUGGUCAUUUGAAACUGGUUGACUAGAGUUUUGUAGAGGGUGGUAGAAUUUCAGGUGUAGCGGUGAAAUGCGUAGAGAUCUGAAGGAAUACCAGUGGCGAAGGCGGCCACCUGGACAGAGACUGACACUGAGGCGCGAAGGCGUGGGGAGCAAACG